This 497-nucleotide ribosomal RNA is filed under the name uncultured bacterium. Its description in RNAcentral is "partial 16S ribosomal RNA". It matches the Rfam family "Bacterial small subunit ribosomal RNA", at positions 28 to 507 of the family's 1533-position model. The record is from RNAcentral.
GAUGAACGCUGGCGGCGUGCCUAAUACAUGCAAGUCGAGCGAACGGACGAGAAGCUUGCUUCUCUGAUGUUAGCGGCGGACGGGUGAGUAACACGUGGAUAACCUACCUAUAAGACUGGGAUAACUUCGGGAAACCUGAGCUAAUACCGGAUGAUAUUUUGAACCGCAUGGUUCAAAAGUGAAAGACGGUCUUGCUGUCACUUAUAGAUGGAUCCUCGCUGCAUUAGCUAGUUGGUAAGGUAACGGCUUACCAAGGCAACGAUGCAUAGCCGACCUGAGAGGGUGAUCGGCCACACUGGAACUGAGACACGGUCCAGACUCCUACGGGAGGCAGCAGUAGGGAAUCUUCCGCAAUGGGCGAAAGCCUGACGGAGCAACGCCGCGUGAGUGAUGAAGGUCUUCGGAUCGUAAAACUCUGUUAUUAGGGAAGAACAUAUGUGUAAGUAACUGUGCACAUCUUGACGGUACCUAAUCAGAAAGCCACGGCUAACUACGUG